GCAUCGAUGAAGAACGCAGCGAAAUGCGAUAAGUAAUAUGAAUUGCAGAUUUUCGUGAAUCAUCGAAUCUUUGAACGCACAUUGCGCCCUCUGGUAUUCCAUAGGGCAUGCCUGUUUGAGCGUCAUUUCACUCUCAAACCUUUUGGUUUGGUGAUGAGCAGUACGGCCUUUUUGAGGGCGUUUGCUUGAAAUGAAAUGGCACGAUGGUACUAAAAGGUACACCACGGAUUAUUCAAUGUAUUAGGUUUAUCCAACUCGUUGAAGCAAACCGGGGAGGUAACUUUGGUACGUUGGUCGGGCCAGCUAACAAACACACAAGAUUGACCUCAAAUCAGGUAAGAAUACCCGCUGAACUUAAGCAUAUCAAUAAGCGGAGGAA
This 379-nucleotide ribosomal RNA is filed under the name uncultured fungus. RNAcentral describes it as "eukaryotic LSU rRNA". The stretch from base 1 to 125 matches the Rfam family "5.8S ribosomal RNA", at positions 30 to 154 of the family's 154-position model. Lineage: Eukaryota; Fungi. The record is from RNAcentral.